Long non-coding RNA from Prinia subflava (tawny-flanked prinia), 10764 nucleotides. RefSeq lists it as uncharacterized. NCBI's taxonomy places the organism in Eukaryota, Metazoa, Chordata, Aves, Passeriformes, Cisticolidae. The transcript is spliced from 2 exons. The record is from RefSeq and is a predicted model, not a curated record.
UCACAACUGGGAGAAUAAAAAGCAGUUCAAGGUGACUCCUCUGCUGCCUCACCCUCUCUCUUUGCACCUUGCAGCUAUUACAUGUUCCUUUAGUCUUUGUUCUAGAAGUAUGGAUGAAGAGCAUGAGGAAAUAAUCCUUAAACUGGUGGGGCUUCCUCAUCUCAUGAAGACACAAGUCCUGGAAAGAAAGAAGCUAUGAAGCAUUGACUGAAGAUACUUUGCCUUUUCAGACUGAGAUGUGUGUAAGACAACAGUGUUGGCUGUUCCACAUGUGGGACUGACCUGUUUUGCCUCCUGACAGCAGUAGUGCUGAUGGUGCCAGGGGGAUUUGCAAUUGCACACCAAGCCACAAAGUAUUUCAGAGAUAAAUGAAAUGUUAUUGACAGGUUUUAGUGAAGAAGUAACAGUUAAUGAAAACCUAUGACUCCUACCAUGAGAUCUGAGAUAACGUUAGGAGUGUUAGCAGUGUCUUGUUAUGAGAGAAAAAGUAACAAAACACUGCUAAAAAUCACACAAAUACUGACACUAAGAUUCUGAUGAGUCUUUUAAAUUAGAAUUUAAGAUGAGUAGGUCCUGUAUCAACAUAAUGGGAUCCUAUUAUAUUCAUGGGAUAACUGCUGGAGAUGAGGGACUCUAUCCCUGGAUCAUUGCAACCAAGGAUUAGAAUUGCACAAUAUAUGUGCAAUGGGAAGUACUCAUAUAUCCCAUGAAAAGCCUCGAGCUAACAGCCAGGUUACAGCAAUUGCCUGAAUGAGACGAUUGCUUUGGAAGCCCCUUGUAAACAGAAGUAGGUUUAAGCUGUGUCAGAUGUAGUUCUAUGUUGACUGAUGAUUCAAGGGUUUUUGUAUGCAGAGUGGAGGUGCAGAUCCCAACAGAUAAAGUGAGCCCUGAAUGUGGUAAACUGAAAUUGAUAGCACAUCACAGUGAUUUAAAUUAAUAAUGUGCUGAAAGUCUGGUUUUGCUUACGUUUCAAGAUUUUGACUCUGCCUUCCUUUUUACCUUUGAAGUUAACAUUCACUGCAGAGUGAUCUUUGUUUUCUCCCAAGCGCUUUCAUCCUCUGCCUCAGGCCAUCCCAUGUACAUGGGAGGAGAUUUGUGUGAAAGGUUUUUUCAAAUCCCUCCUUAAAAUUAAUUUCUGCUAUGAAUCUUAUAAGCAAUGAUAAGCUGCUACUGUUUGCUGUGCUGCAUGUGGUGUUCACAUUACUCACCACUUUCAAAAUAAAGGAGCCUAAUGUGCCAGAAGGUAUUACCUUGGUAAGACCAGUUCUGCUUCUGUAGACCUUUGCAGCUGUCUGAGGAUGUCAAAGCAUAAUCUGGCUGUGAAAAUGGUAUUUUAGGGUAAAGAUAAGCCUCUGAGGCUUUGUUGGGACAGUGAGCCCACCAAUUCCUUUCAUGAUAUUGGAAGAAAAAAUGAAUUAAUGUCAGAUCUUGGUAAUUUUUCCCCUUGGUGCCUGAUUCUCCUCCUACUUCACUUUCUAAAGAGUUGCUUUAUUUGACAUGUUUAGAUUCUAGUGUAGUUCCUACAGCAGCUUGUAUGUUGCUGUACGGAUAGACCCAGCCUUGUGGCAUAACAUCUACUGGCAAUCCCUACCCUGCUGAAUUACACCUGUGCUCUGGAGAGACCAGUCCAGCGUUAGGCACAGUGAGCAAGUCCUUUAUUAGAGCCAUGGAACUAAUGCAACCAAGCUGUUACAUCACUGCUUGGGGAUAUUAACCUAAUUCCAAGGGUAGCACACAUAUUUAGCAAGCUGUUGGGCAUUUCUUUGCUGCACACCAGAUGUACCCUUAGAUUCCUACAGGCAGUAUUUACAUUCAGUCCGUAAUUCUCUGCAAGCAAACUUUGAGGGUUUAAUGAGUGCUGCAGGCAGAAGACAAAAAUGUCAAAGACCACCAACUGAAAUGGAUGGCCUGGCUCUGGACUAGACCCAGGAUUACAGCAUCCUCCAGAGUUUAACAUGGCAAUUACUUGGUGAUGCCUACCCAUAGCAGCAGAAAAAGCCAAAGAUUAUGUAUUCUUGAGACCUCAUGAAAAAAGAUACAAUGGUGAUUUUAAAAGUAGGUGAUUUGAUGAUGAUUUUAAAAGUAGGCACAUUAAAUUUAUGCAAAUUGGAUGAAUGGGGGUACUGAUUGGCUUGUUUUUGCAAGCCUCCAGCUGAUAACAAUCAACUAUUGGGUUAAAUUUUUUUAUUGUUAUGUCCAAAAUCCAGUGUGUUGAACAAUCAUACCAUGGGUUGUCUCAUCCCUCUGUCUGGGUUGGCCCAGUGCCACUGUCCUCAGCUGUACAGUGCCAGUUUAUACCAGUUGGGACUCCUGACUAUGAUUUGCUUAUUCAUCAGGUUCCGAGGGGAAAAUAUAAAUAAUACUUAACUUUCUUACUGCUCUUUACAAAAAAAAACCCCAACAACAACCACAAAAACCCCCCAAACAAACAAAAAACCCACAAAAAACCCCAACAAAAAAAAACCCAAACAAAUGAAACACCACCAAAACAAAACACAACCAAAAAACCCCUCAAAAACAAACAAACAAAAAAUUCCCCCCAAAGAGUCUUCAUCUACAUUUAAACAGAAGAGAAAAACUAAAUACUGUUCAAGGUAAAGUACUGAGAUUUUGGUGUCUCAAGGAAAAGGGCAAAAAUCUGAUAUUGUCCCACUAAAAUUGAUACAAACACUAUCACUGGUGGAUGUAGGAGAAAUCUUCAAAGUGUCAUAAAGGCCCUUUAAGAAAGUCAAAUAGCUUUCAGAGGAAUUCAGCAUUUCAUUGCUUCUACCAGUGUUAGCAAUAUAUUGAUUAGUUUUGCUUGCAAAUAAGGGCAGCAGCCAGUUUGGGUCUUCACCACCUACAGAAAUAUCUGCUGUAAGAACUUGCAGAAUGCCCAGCUUUUCUCAAAGCAGUUGCUUUGUAGGGAAUGUGAAAUGGAAUCAGAGGCAGCAUCCUCCUUAUUGUGCCUGUGCUUCCCGGGAAGCGCCUUUCACUGUCUGGUGAGUCAGGCUGCCUGUCAGCCCCCAGCACACCCAGGAGCAGCCAGUCACACAGCACUGUACCCUUCAGAGGCUCGGACUUCCAGCUGGGACUUUGCUGCAUUUAGCUGUGCCAGAACUAUGGGAGAAAUCUUAACCUAGUCAUGUUAAGUAAUCCCUGUAUCCCAUCUCUUACACCACUGAGUAUUGUUUGAACUUACAGAACAAAAAUGUUGUGUACUGCACACAGCAGCCAAAAGCACAACAGACAAUAUCUUUUGUUCCAGGUUUCAAGCAAUUUUGAGUUGUUUUUCGUGCUAUUUAACAAGUGGAUAAAAAUCUUAUCCCGUGGGAGAACAAAACAGGAGCAAAGUCGUUGUACACCCAACCAGCUGUAGAUAACUGAGCCUGCUUGGUGUUGCAUAAGGAAUUAGUGCCAUCUACAGUGUGAAACGGGUCUUGAAGAUGGAAAGCUGUCAGAAGUUUAAACUACACUCAAAGCAAAACAGCAUGGACAAAAAAUUACCUUACAAUUUAAAACUAAAUAAAGACAUCAUAAAAAGCCAGAAGAAAUUAAAUUAAAAGCUUGGCAUGUAUUAAAAUAGCAAUAGAAAAUGUAACAUAUUUUAAUAAAUGUUUUGCUUUUGAAUAUGCUUGAUUCCAGCAUAGAUUCAUGUAUUCAUAUGUUACAGAAUUUUUUUUCUCAUCUAGUUUAUUUUUGCUAUUGUUGAUCUGAGCUUGAAGUAAAUGACAAAAUGCCACCUGGUGCCCUUCUUAAUAAGCUUUAUGUAAUAGCAUGUCAAACCUACUCUGGGUCCUCUGGUGUCAUUGGUAUUACUUACCUUCACUUCAGGAGGAGAUGAUCUGAACUCAGUUAAGUAAAUUCCAUAUUGUGUAGUUUUCCUUGUUAAUGCAGUUAAUCAAAACCUAAGAGCAUGUUGCCCUCUUGAAGUGCUGUGCCCUUGACCAAGGCACAUGACCAUUUGAUUGGGCUUUUGCCUAUUUACAUAGGAAGUUUUUUCCAUUAUCUCUUAUGAGCUGUGUUCAGGCAGUAAACCAAAAGGGGGCAUUUUAUAAUGGUAAACUGAAUGAUUCACUUCUUCCUCCUCUUGUACAGACUCACAGCAAGAGGCCUGAGCCUGAUUGCUCUUCAGCCUUUACAUGCCAUUGAUACCAUUUGGGGUGGAAAAUGAGUUUCUGACAACUAGGUGUGGAGUUAUCCUAAACUCUUACACAAGCUGGCAAUCAGGUUCUGAAAGCAAGAGCAGCAUACCAAUUUCUGCAGCACCUCAGUUCCUAAGUGGAACCUCUAACAAUGAUCUCUGAGAGACACCAAUAGAGAUUGACUUCUCCAUUUGCCACUACUGAUAUUUCUAAAAUUAAAUGGAUUUGAGAAUAGGAACUGAAGAUGCAGGCUGUGAUCUCCAGGUCCCUCACAACUUUCCUCACUGCUCUCCUCUCUCCCCUUUCCUCUUUGCUUGCAUUUCUCCUCAGUAUUUAUAAGCCUUUGCACUUAGAUCCAUUGUUUUCUUAUGUCAGUGAUAUUAUCUCUACUGUACUUAGGGUAAUACAUAAUACUUAGGUAAAUUCAAGAACAUACUUUCUCCUUUUUAUACGUAUUAUGCAUAGCAGACUUAUUAAUUGUUGAAGCAAUACUUCCAGUAAUAUAAUGUACCAGCCAUUCUUUCCAGGAGAUUCUUAAGUGUUUAGAAAUACCCAUUCUCAUUGAGUAGUAUGGAUACUGAUAGAUCCAUGCAGAGAGCCCACACCGAUUGUGAAAAACUUGUUUGAUUUUCUGAGCCUGGGAGCAGUGAGGCAUUGAUUCCUGCCAUCAAAUUUCACUACUUAACCAAGUUGUCUUUGUUAGGAGCAUAAGCUCUCUUAAACUCAGUAGAGGAAGAAAGGAAUAUGCAUUGUAGAUUCAGAUUUUAGGUGCGCACUGGUAGAAAGGGAAGCUCUAUAUUGUUGAAGAAAUCAAAAAUGAUAGAAUUUAUGAUGUCCAUGCUGCUAACUUAGACACCUCGAUAAAGUCUGGGGGAUGAAUUCACUGGAGACAGGAGCUGAAAGGAAGGGCACUAUUAAUGUUUUUUUUUCCUUUAGAAUCAAAACAGCUGUAGAACUAUGAACAAGAGGUCUGUUAUGUCUGUGUUCAAGGACACAAGAAUUAAUCAGCUGUUUUUCUUAGAAGGAUAAUGGUAAAGAAAUACCUGCUUUCAAUUUUUCUUCUGCUCAGGAACAACCUGUAAAAUAUCAAAUACUCAGUAAAUGCUCAAGGCAAAAUGCUCUCUAUAAUUAUAAAUGGUUUGUUUAUAAAAUGUAAAUGGUCUGUUUAUUCAAAACACAGUGAUGACUCCAGUGUUAUUAAGCCUGCUUGGGCAGUGCUCUUGAGCAAUAUGUAUUCCGAUUAUUAACACGCAGCAUCUGAUCCCAGCAUUUGGUUCUUCUCUCUGAUACAUUCCAGAAACUCAGGAAAAACUUUACUCAAGGGAAUGAACUUUUCCUGCCUGGAACGGGAGCGGGACUGAGCUCCCCGUCCCCAGAGGGCGAUGUGCGCCCUGGGGAGAUGGAAAUGCGCAGGUCGCGGCUCGGGGACACGCAGGGUACCCUGCCUGGGGUCCCCUCACCUUGGCCAAGUCCCAUUAAAAAUCCCUUCUCCCCACUUCCAGCCUUUUUUCCAAAGGUGCUUCCCGCACAGCUGAAACAACUGUUCCAUUAAGGUUCAGAAGGAAAGGGUCAUGAAUUUAUGUUAUAACACAUCUAGAUUGUGUCUAUGGCAAAGCGUGUUGUUCUCUAGCUAAAGAAGCAGCUCACAGCAGAAUUGCCACCAAAUCCUCUGUGCUCUACUAUAAUUAUCAUUGGAUUGCUAUUUAUGGAAAAUUAUUACUGAUAUCAGGCACAUUUAUAAAUGUCAAAUGUAUUUCAUUUCAUUGAAAGCAGAUUUUAAAAAUGUCCAAGUAGUAGAAAGAUGAUUUAUUUUCUUCCAAAUAUGAAACUUAUACAGGGUGAGUUAAAAUGUUAGAAAUUUCUCAUUAAAAGAAAAUAAGCCCCAGCCUUCAAAAAACUUACUACACGUAAUUACAGGUACCUCAUUUUCAAAUUAAAUUCUUACAUUUCAACAUAGUUCUACAGGUUAAAUACCACCAUCAGUACAAUUGUCCUAAAUUCAUAUUGCUGUAAGACUCGUGUUUUGAAUUCUUCUGUAUCUUGAUACGUCUUUAAUCUUUUAUGACAGUGAUUGUUCAGAAACUCAUUCAUUCCUACUGAAAUGUUUUCUUCUGUGAAAAUGCCAAGGCAAUCACAAAUAGUUUUUCAAAUAUAAUAUCAACAGAUUUAUUUAUGGGGGUAUUAUUAUAGACAGACCAGGGGAAAAUCCCCACAAAAACCCCAGUGGUUAAAAAUUUUCUCUCCAAUGAUGUCAUUGGAGCAACUUUGCUGGGACUGUGGAUCUGAAGAUUAGUGAUAAUGAGUGAUAAUUUUCAGCGAACUUUUAACCUGUGUUUAAUGCUGUAUGUUCCAGUCUCUUUAAAACAAGGAUUUAAUUUCUAUGUCCAGGGUGGGUUAACAAUUCUCUGUGCAGCAGGCUUGGUUUCCUCAAAAAAAUCUUCCCCAGGCUGUGUUUUACAGUCUCUGAACUUCUUAUCCCCCUUCCCCCUUAUGAAAAGGCUGCCAGCCGGUCUGAGGAAUGCUGUUAUGUUUGUUAGCAACACUUUGUUAUCUGGGUGAGAAAGCUCUUCUGUAACAGACAGAAAACAACCCAAAGUGAACACAAAUACAUGAAUUUUCUCACACUGAGAGAAAUAUCUCCCAGGUGCAAGGUUAGUCUGAGCCGAAACAAUUCUAGAAACAACUUAUUUUCCUCUCUCCCUGCCAAUCUUCCAUUGUUAACUCUUUCAUCCCCACAGAAGAUUUGAUUAAAAAAAUAAGAUUGUAUCUCAUUUUCUUGUGAAUGUUCAGAAAGCUGAAAAAUAAGAGCUGAAUGUGGCAAGAUUAAUGAGAGGCACUGUUGCUAUUGUAGGACAGUGUAUUAUUUCAUUUUAAUACAGGAAUUAAUGCUAAAAUAAUCUGAGCAGGAGACAGAAAGGAGAAUCUCAGUAUAAAUUUAUGAAGUUUCCAGUCCUCACAACUGCAGGGAAAAAGAAAGUCAAUGUAGAGAGCAUGAAACACAAAAGCAAAUACCUGAAAACAAGUAGCAGAACUCAAACCCUCUUAUUUUAAAAUAUAAUGUAUCAUGUAUCUAGGACAAUCUCUUGCUGUUAGAGAGGCUGUCUCAGGCAGUUGGGUUGCUUAGGGUUAUCCACCAUGUGCUUAGCUGCUAUUGCCUCAGCUGAUGAAUAUAAAUCAGUCUUUUGCUUUCUAGUUACUUUAGACACAUCUUUCAGACACAUUUAUUUCUGGAUAAAUUCUGUAUUUGUUACAGACAGGUAGGAUAUUUAGUGUUUGGGGAGAUUUUAUAGGAAAAAAUAACUUGUCUCAUCCUCCAUAAAAUCGAGCAAUUAAAUUUACUGAGAUAAGAAAAUAACACACCAGAUAUGUCUAUUUAAUCACUGAUGCACCACUGUUUGUUUGUGUAGACUUCUAACUCUUUGUUCUUCAUGCCUUGCUAACAUGUUCUGGACAUUGUCACAAGCCCUUGUGCUGAGGCUGUCCCCACCAUCAAUGUGUUGCAGGCUGUCUUGGAAGUGAGCUUCAAGGGUGUACUCUGACGGGAAGCCCAGAGAAGGAUGCUAUGGUUAUCUGAUUCAGGAUUUGAUAGUUAAAAGCAAGAGAAAGCACAGCAAAAAUGAAUAAAAUGCAUUUAGAAAUGAGUAGGGAAUCUAAGAAAUCGCCUGUUUACUGCAGCUGACUAAAAAUCUUCAUGUCUGCAUACAACGGGCAUAGAAUUCAUCUAUCAAAAAUGUCCAUACUGGAAAUAGCUCAGCCCACAGCUGAGGGGAGGAUUAUUUACUUCCCUGCCCCUCCACCUCUGGGUGCACAAGUAGCACAUUUCAAACAGAUAUGCACAGACUGUCAGAUGUCUGAUUGCUGUGGCUGAAAGCUGACUCGCUAUAAAUCAGCCUCAGUUUGCAAGAUGAGCUGCUUAAUCAGGACGGUGCUGGUUCCUGGGCUAACAGCUCCUAAGCCUGGGCUUAGUGCCAGGGCUCUAAGCUCUCCGGUUCUGCAUGCAGAGGAGUAGACAUGUCCAUCUCUGUGCCUGCCCAGCUACUUGUGUGCUUAAAUAAUCUACCAGAAAUGCUGGUAACAUUUUUCUGCCUUUAUCUGUUACCCUAUCACACAUUAUGUUUGAUCUUGAACCCAGGCAGGUGACUUUACAUUUCCCUGCUGUGGAAGGCUGCUUUCUCAGCAGGGAAGCCUCACUGUACACAAGGAUUAAUGAUGGUUUGGGUGGGAUGUGCAGGAAGGAGAUAUUCUCUGCAGUGGAGCAGGGAAGCAUUUUAUUCAAUUUGGUCAUUUAUGGGUCAGUUUCUUGAGUGAAAGUAGUAAGUGAACUGCAAACAGGAACUUCACAGAGUGUGUAAUUGGGGUGCAAGCAAUUUGUUUGGACAUAUACAUAGAGGGGGAAAGACUUUUAAGGCUCUUGUAGAUGGGAGGACAGACAGCUUGCUCACAGCAUCAGCAGCAGAGACAGACUCCUCCCACCCCCUGGGCUCAGCAGUAUAACCCAUUGUGGCCGUGGGAGGUGGCUGCAACCUCGCCAGGUGCUCCUCUCUCGGCCAACAGGCACAAACACACACUCCUGCUGCUGCUGACCAAGGACAGAUGUUGGUGCUUCUAGCACCAGCUUAAAAACUGCUUGACUGUCAAGCAGUCUUCACUGAAGAGAAUUCAGGCUUUGAGCAAUAGAAAAUAACAAAGGACUGAGAAUUCCUGGCAGCAGUAGUCACUCGUUAGUCAAGAUAUCCCAGCUGUGCUCUCUCCGGGCGAAAAUAAUGGGCGCUGUAAUGCAUUGUGGAUCCCGCCUCUGGGGCUGCAGAUCUGCCGGCUGGAGCAGGCGCUGGAUUCACAGCUCCCCACCUGAGGACAAAGUGGGACUGCUGGAGACAAUCAUUGGAUUCUCAGCAGUUUCACUGGCAGUUCUUGGACCAGCUGGAUGGGUCCUGUGUCACCUUUCAAGCUACAAAAACAAAUAGGAAACAUCCUUUCAAAAUGAAGAUCUAAAGGCUACAAUAAACUAUAAUACUCCAAACUUGGACUCUCUUGGAAGUCCCCGUUCCCACACUGUCACCCACCCCUUGGGUCAGGUCCCAGAAAGCCUUUGCAGAUAUUGUAGAGCUGGGCCCAGAUAUCAAAUGGUGUAAUGAUAUAAAAUAGUGGCAGGUCUACUCUGCCAUCACCUGCUGCACUGGGCAAGUCUGGAUCCCUCAUCAGGUGAGAAAUGGAAGACUGAUGAAGUGGACUGUAAACACGCUCAGGUGACCUGCAGUUUGGCUGUUGAAAAACACAUAUAUCACACUAAUUGUUGUUUGACCUUGUGUUUUAGACAAGUAGAACAUCUGUGGCUAGGAAACACAGGUCUGUGGUACACUUAGAGGCACCCUAUCAAACAUGCUUGAGAAUUCUGCCCUCCUGUGGGCAAGAUUAAAGCACAGUGGUGAAUUCUACUUGUGUGAAUCCUUGAAGUACAGGAAAAAACAGCAGGUUUGCUGAUCCUCCAUCAUGGACCAAGCUUUGCACUGACUGUGUUCCCACUUGUGUGCCUCUACUGUCUGCUGCUUUGGUGAUCCCUGGUUGGUAAGGUAACAAAAAUGAGUUUACUCUUUGCCUUUCAUCCAUGGUUUUGUCAUUGUUCCUGCCUCUUCCAGGUACCAUCAAAAGUUUAAAGUAAAUAAAUGGAAAAAAAAACCAGAAAAAAUAUUUUAUAGACAUCUCAGACUAAACCUCUGAGAAUUUAGGACAGUUUUCCUGAGAAUUUCUCUUUAAUCUUUUGUUCCUUUGGUGUGUUCCUCUUCCACCAGGAUAUGUUUUUCUGCAGGUGAUGAUUUUCAGGUAUUUCAAUUUAUUUUCAGUUUUUAGAUUAAGAUUUUUGACCUUUGAGAGAUUUUCCCAUGAUUGCAAUUACUAGGAUAAAUACAAAAAUUGAGAAAAGUACACUAGAUAACAUUUGUUUUGCCAUGUUACAUGUGUAAUAAAAGAAUGUCUUCUACUGAUUUCAUGUCUGUCUUGCAAGAAAAUACAGAAUAUGAACCUUUUGUGAUGCUUAAGGAUUAGUUGUCAUGCUUAAGUAUUAGCAGAAUAUAAUUUGAAAUUCCAUUAAGUCAUUUGUACUAAUAUCAAAACAGAUUCUGCAAGUAGGGCUGUGAAUGUAUGAAGGUGUAUAUUCUUGCUGUACUUCUAAAGUAUGAUUUUCCAAUAAAUUGUCUGCAUUCUCUUCACCCUUGUAACCAUGACUGAAGUUUUCAGAGUGAGAAUGGAAACAUUCAUCCUGAGUGUUUAAAGAAAGUCACACUAGUUUAUUUUUUCCCAAGAAAUGAUAGCUUUGUCACUGAGUUGAACAGUCUGAUGUGAAAGCCCAGUUGUGUAUGUGGAAAGUUUCUCACAGGUUUGAAUGAGUGUUGGAUAUGUGCCUGCAUUCCUGGUAUCCAGAGAAAAAGCAAUGCCAGUAACUGAAAGGCACUUGGACAAGCAAUCUGAACCUUUGCUCCUGCAUGCUGUGAGUGUAUCCUUUGGAAUCAUAAGGCUAUUUUGCAGAAUCUUUUGUAAAAAUCAGCUUUGAACUUUCCAGUGUAUCUGCUUGUCCUGUAUCUGAUUUCAUCAUCCUUCUCUCACCUACUAAUGCUGAAAUAAAUCAGUAAGAUAUUACAUUUCA